AGGCAUUGACUUGCGUUAUUGACAGCAGCGAUCAAUGCAUUUGGACCCUGAGUUUAUCAAGUAACUUGGAGUUACAUGUGAUCAAAUGAUUAAGGAUCUACGGUUAGUACCAUGGAGCUGCUGAGUGGUUUUAUUUGAAAAUUGAGUGUACAAAUAAUUAAUUUACUUAUCAAAUAGACAUAGUUCCAUUUGGCAGAAAUACGUCCAAAUAGGGCUUUGAGGCAGUUAAAAAUAGGGUAAUGGUAAUAUAAGUAAACGGUAUUUGGAAGGGCAGAAAACGAACAGAACAUGUUGUUUGGGUACCUACACCUCACUGGUAGGUUCCAGCAUAAUGAGGUGACGGAACUGACGAAUCGAGAAUAACUUUAUGACAUUUUUCUAUUUUCUCAUUUGUUAAGAGUGGUAAAAUUUAACUUUUCUCUAAUCGGUGAGUUCGUCGAAGGAAAAAUUCAAAGCAUAUGGGGUAUGUGCUCUUCUUUCGUUCAUAUGUAUGUACUUGUACAUUCUGAUUAAUUCUGAUGCACCUUAUUUACUGUUUCACUUUUUCUUGCAUUAUCAUUUAUGUACUUAAUUUUUGUUCAACCUUUUGCAUGCGAGUUAGCUUUGUCAUGGGUAUAUGCCUACCGUAUUGAAAGUUAUUUUACAAUUUUAAACAAUUUUGGAA
Bemisia tabaci is the source of this 664-nucleotide non-coding RNA. NCBI's taxonomy places the organism in Eukaryota, Metazoa, Arthropoda, Insecta, Hemiptera, Aleyrodidae. The record is from RefSeq and is a predicted model, not a curated record.